CAUUUAGUGGAUGGCUAGGUUCAGAACGCUGAUGAAGGGCGUGGCCAGCUGCGAAAAGCUCCGGCGAGGCGCACGUAGCCUGAGAACCGGAGAUCCCCGAAUGGGACAUCCCGUAUACUCCGUAAGGAGAAGGAACUUCCCGGAGUGAAACAUCUCAGUAGGGAAAGGAAAAGAAAGCAAAUGCGAUGCCGUUAGUAAGGGCGACCGAACACGGCAGAGAGCAAACUGAAUCCCAGUUAUCUGGGAGAUGUGGUGUUCGGAUGCAUGCAACUGCAACGCAGAUGAAGGUGAAGUCUCCUGGAACGGAGCACCAGAGAGGGUGACAGUCCCGUAACUGUAAGUCUGCAGCGCAGGCAUGUAUUCCAGAGUAGUGUGGGUCGGAUAUCUCGCAUGAAUAUGGGAGGCACUAACUCCUAACUCUAAAUACGUUCUGAAACCGAUAGCGAACUAGUACCGUGAGGGAAAGCUGAAAAGUACCCCGAAAGGGGGGUGCAAAGAGCCUGAACCUAAAUGGUGACGAUUGGGCAGGGCGCGAAAGGGUAGACUCUUGUCGAAAGGAGAGUUCGCAAGGUCUCAACUGAGACAAGAUGACCGGUGUCCUGUCGUCCGUCUAGAAACACGGGGCAGGGAGUUUACAGCAGUGGCGAAACUAAGAAGUUGAAACUUCUGAGUUUUAGGGAAACCAACACGUCCGCAGCCUUUGGUGAGGGACGAGGUGUGAAAGCGCCUGGAGUCACUGCUUUAAGACCCGAAACCAGUCGAUCUAUUCCUGGGCAAGGUGAAAUCUCUCGCCAGAGAGACGGAGGCCUGAAGGGGUACUGACGUGCAAAUCGUUCCUCUGACCUGGGAAUAGGGGUGAAAGGCCAAUCGAGACUGGAGAUAGCUGGUUCUUCCCGAAAUGAGCCGUAGUUCAGCCCGGAGCGAGACAGUCGGUGGAGUAGAGCACUGAUUGGGUGUUUAGGGGGAGAAAUCCCUCGGCACUCUGUCAAACUCCGAAGCCAUCGACGUUGUAGACCUCUGGAGUGAGUGGUGUGGGGUAAGCUCACAUUGCAAAAGGGAAACAACCCAACCCAAAGUUAAGGCCCCUAAGCGCUGGCUAAGUUGAAGGAUGUCCUCAGCCCUAAACAGCGGGGAGGUAAGCUCAGAAGCAGCUAUCCUUUAAAGAGUGCGUAACAGCUCACCCGUCUAGGUUCAGGGCGCCUAAAAUGGACGGGACUCAAGCCCGCCGCCGAUACUUUGGAACGCGAAAGUGAUUUGGUAGGGAAGCGUCUCGAUAGGGCAGAAGCUGCUGCGAGAGCAACAGUGGACCUGUCGGGAUUGAGAAUCCUGCUGGUAGUAACAGCAAAGCAGAGUGAGAAUCUCUGCCACCGGAGGGGCUAGGAUUCCUCAGCAAUGUUCGUCAGCUGAGGGUUAGCCGGUCCUAAGGUCAUCGGUAAUUCCAGAUGAUCGAAAGGGAAACAGGUUAAUAUUCCUGUGCCACAAAAGCAAUAGCGGCAACGCUGGUGUCUUUUCCUGACAUCUAUGGAUAGACUGAGUGGGACCGUCAUCCCAUUUAACUGUAUAAAUCCAGGAAGAUGCGUCAUGCAGAGAACUGGAUGAAACCAGUAACAGCCUGACACUUUUAGUUGGGUUCAGUUGAUUCCACGGGUCAGUGAAAAGGGAAAGGAUGUAUGCUUUUGUGUCCGUACUGAGAACCGACACAGGUGCCCCUAGGUGAGAAGCCUAAGGUGUGUUGGGAUACUCCAGUUGAGGGAACUCGGCAAAUUAGCCUCAUACCUUCGGUAUGUGGGGUGCGCAUCUCGCUGAGAGAUGCGUCGCAGUGACAAGGAGGCUCCGACUGUUUAAUAAAAACACAGCAAGCUGCUAGCCCGAAAGGGUGUGUACAGCUUGUGACGUCUGCCCAGUGCCGGUACGUGAAACCCUGUUCCAACGGGGCUAAGCGCCGGUAAACGGCGGGAGUAACUAUAACUCUCUUAAGGUAGCGUAAUACCUUGCCGCUUAAUUGGUGGCUUGCACGAAUGGCGGAACGAGAGCCUCGCUGUCCCCAACUGGAACCCAGUGAACCCACUGCCUGGUGCACAUGCCAGGGACCCCCAACGGGAAGCGAAGACCCCGUGGAGUUUUACUACAGCCUGUCGUUGUGAUUCGAAUAGGGUUGUGCAGCAUAGGUGGGAGCCUGCGAAGCCUCGUCGCUAGACAAGGUGGAGGCGCCGGUGAGAUACCACCCUUCUGUAUUUGGGUCACUCACCGUUUUCGGACGGAACAUCGGUAGGUAGGUAGUUUGGCUGGGGCGGCACGCCCCUGAAAAGAUAUCAGGGGCGCCCUAAGGCUGGCUCAGAUGGGUCAGAAAUCCAUCGUAGAGUGCAAGGGCAAAAGCCAGCUUGACUGGAUUGUUGCCAGUAAGCGAUCCAGAGGUGAAAGCCUGGCCUAGCGAGACACAAUGUCCUCCUUAGUGGGGGCUUGUGGUGACAGAAAAACUACCCCGGGGAUAACAGGGUGGUAUCGGGCAAGAGUACAUAUCGACCCCGAUGCUUGCUACCUCGCUGUCGGUUUUCUCCAACCUGGGUCUGCAGCAGGACCCAAGGGUGGGGUUGUUCGCCCAUCAAAGGAGAACAUGAGCUGGGUUUAGAUCGUCGUGAGACAGAUUGGAUGCUAUCUGUUGGGGGUGCGGGGUGUUUGAGGGAAAGGUAGCCUCAGUACGAAAGGAACAGGUCGCCGUGGCCUCUGGUGGAUCGGUUGUCUGACAAGGCACUGCCGAGUAGCUACGCCAUAGUGGAUAAAGGCUGAAUGCAUCUAAGCCUGAAGCCACUCCCAAAACGAGACACCCAUUCUCUUG
RNAcentral lists this ribosomal RNA (2836 nucleotides) under Theionarchaea archaeon. Its description in RNAcentral is "23S ribosomal RNA". It matches the Rfam family "Archaeal large subunit ribosomal RNA". Lineage: Archaea; Methanobacteriati; Methanobacteriota; Theionarchaea. The record is from RNAcentral.